Oncorhynchus kisutch (coho salmon) is the source of this 4633-nucleotide RNA transcript. It is a transcript of the gene named ceramide synthase 5, with no coding region annotated. The record is from RefSeq and is a predicted model, not a curated record. Lineage: Eukaryota; Metazoa; Chordata; Actinopteri; Salmoniformes; Salmonidae. The transcript is spliced from 11 exons.
ACGUCUCCCUUGUAAUACUAUGGAUGGCCGCUUGGUGGUGACCUUCUCUUGUUCAAACUUUUAAAGUCACGUCUGGGGGGACAAGACCAUUUUCUACAUACAUCACACAUUCACCUAUAUUGGGCACACGAUUUUAAUCUCGGAUUAUUAUUGAUUAUCUCUUAUUUUGAAAAGAACGCUAGCAAGCUAGGUGGCUGCGGACUGGCUAAGUAACAGUAUUCCAUCAAUGAUACCUCCGAAUAGCGGGCGGGAGGUGGGGCCGUGGCCCAUUUCACUUCCUUAAUCCAUGAACUCCAUCACGAAACGGAGGGACGACGGUGGAAACGUUUCUCAAGUUUUUCUUUGGGAUAUAUUUAUUUAAUUGAAACGACUUUUGGUGACCAUGGCUGCUCUUUCAGCCUGGUUUUGGAACGAGAGAUUUUGGCUCCCACAUAAUGUGACUUGGGUGGACCUUGCAGACCCAGCGCCCGGGGUGGAGUAUCCUAAAGCCAGUCACUUGCUCUCUGCUUUACCGCUGGCUUUGGGGAUCUUUGCGGUCAGAAUACUAUUUGAGAGGUUCAUAGCCAGACCAUGUGCCUUCCUCUUGCAUAUCCACGCGACCUCAGUCCACUGGCGAGCCACACCCAACCCUGUCCUGGAGAAGGUGUUUACAUCCAUCACAAAGUGCCCAGACUGGCGACACCUGGAUGGCUUAUCUAAGCAGUUGGACUGGGAUGUGAGGAAGGUUCAGCAAUGGUUCAGACACAGACGCAACCAGGACAAACCCAGCGUACUCACCAAGUUCUGUGAGAGCAUGUGGAGGUCUACAUUUUAUCUGUGCAUAUUUACCUAUGGCAUUCGUUUUCUAUGGCAGUGCCCAUGGAUGUGGGAUACACCCCACUGCUGGUACAACUACCCCUACCAGGUCCUGACCCCAGGCCUGUACCACUACUAUGUGACUGAGCUGGGCUUCUACUGGUCCCUCAUGUUCUCUCAGUUUACUGACAUCAAACGCAAGGACUUUCCCAUCAUGUUCAUCCAUCACCUAGCAACAGUGAGCCUGAUCAGUUUCUCCUACGCUAACAACAUGCUACGUGUCGGGAGCCUGGUGAUGUGUGUCCACGAUGCAUCAGACUUCAUACUGGAGGCAGCCAAGCUGGCCAACUACGCCAAGUACCAGCGCUUGUGUGACUUCCUGUUUGUUCUGUUUGCAGUAGUCUUCUUCAUCACACGGCUCGUCAUCUACCCUCUACGGAUCCUGAACACAACGUUGUUUGAGAGCUGGGAGAUCAUUGGUCCAUACCCUUCCUGGUGGCUCUUCAACUCCCUACUGCUGGUGCUACAGGUGCUGCACGUCAUCUGGUCCUACCUCAUAGCCGGGAUCGCCUACAAAGCCUUGGUUCGUGGAAAGGUGUCUAAGGAUGACCGCAGUGACGUGGAGAGCAGCUCGGAGGAGGAGGCUGACACCAACAGAACCAAUGACAGGGGGGUUAAAAUGGCUUUCUCUCUUAAGGCAGAGAACGGCACCAAUGGCACCAACGGCCACGCCGUCACCACUAAAAGCUGGCCACAGAUACGCACCAGCAGCAGGUGACAGAGGAGCCUGCCGUCUGAUUCACACUAUAGGGCCGAGCCAGGUCAAAUAUGUCUGCCGUGGUUACACUGCGCAUCCACUAUUUGUCAGAACUGUGCUGGAAAGGACAAUAUCAGAGCCAGUACUGUUCGGGUCGGCCCUAUAGUGAGAAUUAGGCAUAUCUGUGCGGCCUUUCCACUACUAGUUCAUCCUAUCCUAGAUUACAUCUUGAACGCGCUUUUCCGAGCCUCAUCCAGUUCCCUGGACGGUUUAACUUAAGUUUCUUCAUUCAUCUAACUCUUAAUUAAAAUGUCUUCUUCAGAACUAACAAUGAUCGAUGACUAUGACAGUAUACGAUGGAUGAAUAGACACACUACUGUGACCCAUAGAAUCAAAACUGAUGAAAUGAAGAGAGAAAAAAUAAGUGCAUUCCCUGAUGUCAAGUGAAUGGGUCUGAAGAUAUUUGCGGUACCUUAUGAACAUAAACAAAUGGAAUACAAGCUAAUGUUCUAAUGUGAUGCUGCAGUUUGCCUGAGAUUCUCUUCUGUCCGUUUUAUUGGUCCGGUGGACUUGAGUUACUACGGUGUAUUUUAAGAAGUAAUUGUUCAGUUACUUUGUUUCUGGUCAGUUCUGUUCACUGUUUCUAUCUUAUUAAUAUGAGACCAAUGUUUAUUGAAUGUUUAACGUUUUUUUAAAUGUCUUUGGUAUAAAAAAAAAAAUGCAUAUGAAUUUAAAAGAGAAGAAGCCAACAGAAUCCUAUUCAGUAGCGAUCAUCCAUAGAUGUGGUGUGUAUUAGGGCUAAUAAUGUGAGUGUUGAGUACAGAGACAAAAAUAGAUGUUUAUUUGUGUAAGAUGUUUUUAUUUAUAUUACCGGUUGGUACAUAACCUUGAAGAUCCCACCACACAAACUAUGAUUCAGUGUGAUCUGAGCAAGUUAUGAUAAGAGACUGAUUGGACAUUUAGUUUAAGCUGGAAGGAGUCAAACCAUUUUUCAGUCAACUCCAGUCCUCUGCCCCUUCUCCUUUUAGCAGACAAAUUAUGAACUUGACAGUAAAUGAAGAGUAGAUUCUCCUUUACUCAUCUGGGCACACAAAACUUCCACACCCAAAUAGUUAUCACAUAAAAGUCCCAUGGGAGGAACAGAAAUGUCCAUGAUUUUGUGGACAAACUAUUCAGUUCCAGUCCUCUAUGGCUUGAGGACCUCCACGUCUUGGUUUUCUGCCGCUACCUGCAGCUCUUUUUGCUUGUUCAUGUAGCGGUAUCCCCGCAUGGUGCACAGGUAUCCCCCGUAGAGUGUCAACAGCAUCAUCGAGGCAGAAAACCCCCGGUAUCCGAAGUCGGCGAGUCGCUUUGCGGUGGUCAACAUGAUGAUGGUGUUCCUGAGGAAGUUAUAUCCAGCAACGACAAGUUGUAGUACAACUAAGGGUAGCUACAUACAUCUCAUUGUUUACUCGUGUUUAACAAUGUGGUUCACAGAUAACAAAAUGUCAACAUAUCAACAAAAAAAGUAUAACAUCGGAUGUUAGUCAAAUUCAGGGUAUCUGAUGUAAUUUAGCUAGGUUAGCUAGCUAUCAAGGUUAGCAAGCUUUUAACAACACAUUGAAUAAAAAUUGAUUUUUUUUUCCAGUUUCAAAUUACUGCUAUGUAAAUUGCAUUGUCACUUACCUUGUAAAAUAUGACCGUCAGAUUAUUGAUACCCUUCUCAAUGUCAACACACCUGGCUAGCUAACUUCUUCCGUAACUGAAAACAACGGAGUCUUGUGAGGGUCAAAAGUCGUUCGGUUCUUGAGUAAUCAGCAGUGGGAGGAGCGGUAUAGAAGUUCUGUAGAAUUUUCCUAGGUCGGACGUAUUUUGAUGCUGCACACGUGGGAACAACGAUGGCCACAUGUGGAGCAGAGAGUGAAGUUCUGGAUGAAAAAAAUUAUCCCGGUGCAGCACCUUACGGCAAUUUUAUAAACUAUUACACAUUCAACCCACCAGAGAACCGUUUAAGCCUCAUUCCGACCACACUUAUUCAGGAUUUGGGGUAUGGCAAGGACAGCAGUGAAACCAUAUUGAUGCUGGAUGUCGGUUGCAAUUCAGGGGACCUGACAGUGGCAUUGUACAGACACCUUCAACAGAGAGUCUUGUCUGAAGACUCUAUAACACCACCUGACACUGAUCUCCAACUCCUCGGCUUCGACCUGGACGAAACCUUGAUCCUCCGGGCCCAACAGGCCAACCCUUUCCCCCAGAGCAUCUCUUUCAUUCCCUUAGACAUCACUGAGGAUGCUGCUAGCCAGACCCAGCUACAGGACUACCUGAGACAACAUGGCAGCUUCCGCUUCCACCUCUCGCUGUGCCUGGCUGUUACCAUGUGGGUCCACCUGAACCACGGAGACGCUGCCCUGCUGGGGCUCCUCUCCCGGCUGGCCUCCGUCAGCCAACAUCUCCUCCUGGAGGCCCAGCCCUGGAAGUGCUACCGUUCGGCUGCACGGAGGCUGAGGAAGCUAGGGCGGUCUGACUUUGACCACUUCAAGGAGUUAAAGAUUAGAGGAGAUGUGGCAGAACAAGCCAGGGAACACUUAGAGAAACACUGUGGGAUGGCACUGAUGCAGUGUUUCGGUAGUACCAGCUGGGAUCGUAGACUGCUCCUCUUUAGGAGAAGAGAGACGGUUGACCUACAUUUAUCCCAGUAGAUAUGUUAUGAUUGUCUUAAAGGAGUAAUCUGAAAACAUUUGAACAUUGUCUUCCUUGACAAUGAAGUGACAAGGUCCUAAGGAAAUAUGUAUGUGUGCAGAGAAGGAACUCCAAGUUCCUUAGCCUCCUUCACAGCCAGCUCAAGUUCUUUAAGUGCAGUGAAGGACCAGUAUGUUGUUUGCACACUAGGAGGCAAUAAUACUCUGUUACUACUUGUAUUGCCACCAUACCUAGUCUAUGCUUUCAGCUAUGCAUUUAACUGAUCUUACUCGAUUUUCUUCUUAAUAGUGUAUAUGUUUUGGCAAACAAUUAUGAAUGAACUGUGUGUGUGUAUGAGAAAUGAAUUUAAUAUUUAUUUUUGGGGAUGUUUAAAAAUAAGAAUGAAUAAAGCCCUUGAAUUUA